GACGAACGCUGGCGGCGUGCUUAACACAUGCAAGUCGAACGAUUAAAGCUCUCUUCGGAGAGUGUAUAGAGUGGCGCACGGGUGAGUAACACGUAAGUAAUCUACCUUUGAGUGGGGAAUAACCCGGGGAAACCCGAGCUAAUACCGCAUAAUGCAGCGGCACCGCAAGGUGACAGUUGUUAAAGGAGCAAUCCGCUUAAAGAGGAGCUUGCGGCAGAUUAGCUAGUUGGAAGGUAAUGGCUUACCAAGGCUUCGAUCUGUAUCCGGCCUGAGAGGGCGGUCGGACACACUGACACUGAAUAACGGGUCAGACUCCUACGGGAGGCAGCAGUCGGGAAUUUUGGGCAAUGGGCGAAAGCCUGACCCAGCAACGCCGCGUGAAGGAUGAAGUAUUUUGGUAUGUAAACUUCGAAAGAAUGGGAAGAAUCAAUGACGGUACCAUUUAUAAGGUCCGGCUAACUACGUGCCA
Molecule: ribosomal RNA, 469 nt
Filed under: uncultured bacterium
Lineage: Bacteria
Description: bacterial SSU rRNA
Rfam family: Bacterial small subunit ribosomal RNA
Source: RNAcentral